UUGCUUCGGUGCCAGCAGCCGCGGUAAUUCAGCUCCAAGAGCAUAUAUUAAAGUCGUUGCAGUUAAAAAGCUCGUAGUCGAAUAUCCGGUAUAACGUACCCGGCCCGCAGCUUUUAGGCUCCGCGCUGCCGGCGCACGCUGCCAUCUUUCUAAAAAACGGGUCUGCCACCAACUUGGGGGGUUCGGGAUCUAGAUCAUUUACUUCGAAAAAAUUAGAGUGUUUAAAGCAAGCAAUCGCUCUGAAUACACUAGCACGGAAUAAUAAUCUAGGACUUCGGUUCUAUUUUGUUGGUCUCUAAAACUGAAGUAAUGAUUGAUAGGGACAGUUGGGGGUGCUAGUAUUGGCCGGCCAGAGGUGAAAUUCUUGGAUUCGGUCAAGACUAACUUAUGCGAAAGCAUUCACCCAAGGAUGUCUUCUUUAAUCAAGAACGAAAGUUGGGGGGGAUCAAAAACGAUCAGAUACCGUCGUACUCUCAACCAUAAACUAUGCCAACUAGGGGAUGGGGUGGAACCGUUGCUUUUUUCGACUUCAUCCGCACCUUAUGAGAAAUCAAGUCUUUGGGUUCCGGGGGGGGAAUAUUGGUCCGCAAGGCUGAAACUUAAAGGAAUUGGACGGGAGGGCCACCACCAGGAGUGGCAGCCUGCGGCUUAUUUUGACUCAACACGGGAAAACUUACCACGUCCAGACAUAGGUGGAGGGAUUGACAGAUUGAAUAUCUUCUCAUCAUUCUUAUGGGGGGUGGGGGGGUGGCAUGGCCCGUUCUUAGGUGGGGGGAGAAGUGGUAUUCUGGUCCUGGUUUAACUUCCGGUUAAACGAACGACACCCUCGACCUGCUAAUAAGUUGACUGCAUCUUUUUUGGGGGUGGGGAUUGACUUCCUAGAGGGUACUUUUUUUGUGAUAAGCCAAAAGAGGUUACGAAGCAUUAAGCAUGUCUGUGACUGCCUCUUAAAUAUGGUUGCGUGGGGACCG
Molecule: ribosomal RNA, 971 nt
Filed under: uncultured eukaryote
Lineage: Eukaryota
Description: partial 18S ribosomal RNA
Rfam family: Eukaryotic small subunit ribosomal RNA
Source: RNAcentral